CUUUAUCAUUGCCAAGUUGCCAAACAGCCCCCUUUCAGGCCUAGCAUCUUUCUUUGGUGUCUUCUUUCUUUCAUUUCUUUCCUCCUCCUCCUCCUCUGAAUUCAUCUACAUAUGCUCAUCUCCUCCUCCUCCUCCUCCUGCUUGCAUGUUUAAUUCUUAUUGAUCGGAAAGUUGUAAUCUUUUAGAGUUGCCACCUCUUAUGUACGGAUCUGAAAUGAUUGCCUUCAAACUAACACUAGCACUCAAUUACAAGGAGGCUUUGAGUUUCUUGUGGGGAGAUACAGAUCCUUGGUUAUAAGCGUAUUUCAGAUUCGAAAGCGUUUUUAAGGAUCAUCUGUAUCCAGUUAGAUCUUCCAAUGGAGCCUAUCAGUUUAAAGAUCACGAUCUAUCGGUUUGCAUGGACUGGACUUAUUGGUCCGGUUGGUCCUAGCCCUGGAUUGGAUCAAAAGACCCUGUUCCUGUUGGAUGGUUAUGAGGUUUGAUUUGCCCUGCUUGUAAUUUUUUUUUCUCAGCAUUAGACUUGCUUUAAUUGUUUGGGUAAGUAAUUGUCUUAAUAGAAACACACCAGAAAGGAAGGCAACGGAUAGCCUUGUAGCCCAGCCGUUGAGGGAAAAAACCCAAGUACAAAUAAACCCAAAACUACAGCAGCUGCAAAAAAAGAAAAAGAAAAAAGGCUACCUUGCUGAGUCUUUUACAACUACGAUCAAGAAAAGGUUUGCCUCUCCCGAGAAUCCAAAAUGGGUCAUCGUAGUAUAUGACAUAUAGGCCUCGUUUGAUAACGGUGAUAGAUGGGUGGGAUUUUUAAUGAGAUGAGAUUACGAUUGGGAUUGAUAAUGAGAUGGAAUUGAUAACUCUCUUGUUUGUUUGGGAUGGGAUUAUUAAUAUCAUGUUUGUUUCCCAUGGGAUAGGAUUGGAUUAGACUGGAUUAAUACAUUUGCAAAUUUGCCCUUAUGCAAAUCUGAAGGAUAACAACACCAUGCUCUAUUGCAUCAAAAGCAAAUCGAGAAAACAAUAUAAAUAACCAAUCCCAAGAGCUUAGAGGUUUAUCAAACGGGGCCAUAGAUUUUUCUACCAUUGUCUCCUUCUCUUUAUCUUGAAUGUUUAUUUCCUUUGCCAUCUUUGUCUUCGAAUUAGAAUUGAUGCUAACUGUUAUACAUCUUUGUUUAUCUACCAUUGUCUCCCAAGAGCUAACUGUUGAUGUGAGUUAUACAUGUUAAUUUGUUUUAAAGUGGAGAAUGGCCACUGUGAAUUUCUUAAUCUUAUGUGUCUUUUCUUGAUAUUAAUUUGGUUUCAAGUGGAGAAUGGCCAUUGUGAAUUUCUUGAUUGUGUA
This is a long non-coding RNA of Rhododendron vialii, 1330 nucleotides long. RefSeq lists it as uncharacterized. The record is from RefSeq and is a predicted model, not a curated record. Lineage: Eukaryota; Viridiplantae; Streptophyta; Magnoliopsida; Ericales; Ericaceae. The transcript is spliced from 3 exons.